Molecule: ribosomal RNA, 253 nt
Filed under: uncultured bacterium
Lineage: Bacteria
Description: partial 16S ribosomal RNA
Rfam family: Bacterial small subunit ribosomal RNA
Source: RNAcentral
UACGGGGGGGGCAAGCGUUGUCCGGAAUUACUGGGCGUAAAGGGUUCGUAGGUGGCCAAUUAAGUCAGACGUGAAAUCCCUCAGCUCAACUGGGGAACUGCGUCUGAGACUGGAUGGCUUGAGUGCAGGAGAGGAACGCGGAAUUCCAGGUGUAGCGGUGAAAUGCGUAGAUAUCUGGAGGAACACCGGUGGCGAAGGCGGCGUUCUGGACUGCAACUGACACUGAGGAACGAAAGCCAGGGGAGCAAACGGG